RNAcentral lists this ribosomal RNA (119 nucleotides) under Triticum dicoccoides. Lineage: Eukaryota; Viridiplantae; Streptophyta; Magnoliopsida; Poales; Poaceae. The record is from RNAcentral.
GGAUGCGAUCAUACCAGCACUAAAGCACCGGAUCCCAUCAGAACUCCAAAGUUAAGUGUGCUUGGGCGAGAGUAGUACUAGGAUGGGUGACCUCCUGGGAAGUCCUCGUGUUGCAUUCC